AGAGUUUGAUCCUGGCUCAGGAUGAACGCUGGCGGCGUGCCUAAUACAUGCAAGUCGAGCGAACGGACGAGAAGCUUGCUUCUCUGAUGUUAGCGGCGGACGGGUGAGUAACACGUGGAUAACCUACCUAUAAGACUGGGAUAACUUCGGGAAACCGGAGCUAAUACCGGAUAAUAUUUUGAACCGCAUGGUUCAAAAGUGAAAGACGGUCUUGCUGUCACUUAUAGAUGGAUCCGCGCUGCAUUAGCUAGUUGGUAAGGUAACGGCUUACCAAGGCAACGAUGCAUAGCCGACCUGAGAGGGUGAUCGGCCACACUGGAACUGAGACACGGUCCAGACUCCUACGGGAGGCAGCAGUAGGGAAUCUUCCGCAAUGGGCGAAAGCCUGACGGAGCAACGCCGCGUGAGUGAUGAAGGUCUUCGGAUCGUAAAACUCUGUUAUUAGGGAAGAACAUAUGUGUAAGUAACUGUGCACAUCUUGACGGUACCUAAUCAGAAAGCCACGGCUAACUACGUGCCAGCAGCCGCGGUAAUACGUAGGUGGCAAGCGUUAUCCGGAAUUAUUGGGCGUAAAGCGCGCGUAGGCGGUUUUUUAAGUCUGAUGUGAAAGCCCACGGCUCAACCGUGGAGGGUCAUUGGAAACUGGAAAACUUGAGUGCAGAAGAGGAAAGUGGAAUUCCAUGUGUAGCGGUGAAAUGCGCAGAGAUAUGGAGGAACACCAGUGGCGAAGGCGACUUUCUGGUCUGUAACUGACGCUGAUGUGCGAAAGCGUGGGGAUCAAACAGGAUUAGAUACCCUGGUAGUCC
RNAcentral lists this ribosomal RNA (806 nucleotides) under uncultured bacterium. Its description in RNAcentral is "bacterial SSU rRNA". It matches the Rfam family "Bacterial small subunit ribosomal RNA", at positions 8 to 796 of the family's 1533-position model. The record is from RNAcentral.